RNAcentral lists this ribosomal RNA (507 nucleotides) under uncultured bacterium. RNAcentral describes it as "partial 16S ribosomal RNA". It matches the Rfam family "Bacterial small subunit ribosomal RNA", at positions 28 to 507 of the family's 1533-position model. The record is from RNAcentral.
GACGAACGCUGGCGGCGUGCCUAAUACAUGCAAGUCGAACGCAUUUUCUUUCACCGUAGCUUGCUACACCGAAAGAAAAUGAGUGGCGAACGGGUGAGUAACACGUGGGUAACCUGCCCAUCAGCGGGGGAUAACACUUGGAAACAGGUGCUAAUACCGCAUAAUUCCAUUUACCGCAUGGUAGAUGGGUGAAAGGCGCUUUUGCGUCACUGAUGGAUGGACCCGCGGUGCAUUAGCUAGUUGGUGGGGUAACGGCCUACCAAGGCUGCGAUGCAUAGCCGACCUGAGAGGGUGAUCGGCCACACUGGGACUGGGACACGGCCCAGACUCCUACGGGAGGCAGCAGUAGGGGAUCUUCGGCAAUGGACGCAAGUCUGACCGAGCAACGCCGCGUGAGUGAAGAAGGGUUUCGGAUCGUAAAACUCUGUUGUUAGAGAAGAACAAGGAUGAGAGUGGAAAGUUCAUCCCUUGACGGUAUCUAACCAGAAAGCCACGGCUAACUACGUG